UUCCUCAGCCAGCCUUGCUUCAGAUGUGAGUGUGCGAUUCCCAGAGCCAACCAGGGUGUGUAAGAAAACGCCCCAACUCCUGCCACAAGCCGCCCCUCCCACGCCCCUCUGCUCAGCCCAGCCCUGCACACCUGUGCCCAGGACAGCCGUGCUCAGCGAGGGGCCCUGCGCCCGCCCCUGAGCCGCGACCAUGGGCCUGCUCGCCUACCUGAAGACCCAGUUCGUGGUGCACCUGCUCAUCGGCUUCGUCUUCGUGGUGAGCGGCCUGAUCAUCAACUUCACGCAGCUGUGCACGCUGGCGCUCUGGCCCGUCAGCAAGCGGCUGUACCGCCGCGUCAACUGCCGUCUGGCCUACUCGCUCUGGAGCCAGCUGGUGAUGCUGCUGGAGUGGUGGUCCUGCACCGAGUGCACGCUCUUCACCGACCGCGACACCGUGAGCCACUUCGGCAAGGAGCACGUGGUCAUCAUCCUCAACCACAACUUCGAGAUCGACUUCCUGUGCGGGUGGACCAUGUGUGAGCGCUUCGGAGUGCUGGGCUCCAAAGUGCUGGCCAAGAAGGAGCUGCUGUACGUGCCGCUCAUCGGCUGGACGUGGUACUUCCUGGAGAUCGUGUUCUGCAAGCGGAAGUGGAGGAGGACCGCGACACGGUCAUGGAGGGCCUGAAGCGCCUGGCCGACUACCCCGAGUACAUGUGGGUUCUCCUGUACUGCGAAGGGACGCGCUUCACGGAGACCAAGCACCGGGUCAGCAUGGAGGUGGCCCGCCUCCAAGGGGCUGCCCCCGCUCAAGCACCACCUGCUGCCGCGGACCAAGGGCUUCACCACCCGCCGUCCAGUGCCUGCGGGGCACAGUUGCAGCCAUCUACGACGUGACCCUGAACUUCCGAGGGGAACAAGACCCCGUCGCCUGCUGGGCAUCCUCUACGGGAAGAAGUACAUGGCCGACAUGUGCGUGAGGUGAGCAGGGCGGGAGGCC
Molecule: RNA transcript, 976 nt
Organism: Perognathus longimembris pacificus (Pacific pocket mouse)
Lineage: Eukaryota; Metazoa; Chordata; Mammalia; Rodentia; Heteromyidae
Gene name: 1-acyl-sn-glycerol-3-phosphate acyltransferase gamma-like
Exons: 6
Source: RefSeq, a predicted model, not a curated record